This 2659-nucleotide ribosomal RNA is filed under the name Musa schizocarpa. RNAcentral's name for it is "eukaryotic LSU rRNA". The stretch from base 513 to 2659 matches the Rfam family "Eukaryotic large subunit ribosomal RNA", at positions 1 to 2858 of the family's 3401-position model. Lineage: Eukaryota; Viridiplantae; Streptophyta; Magnoliopsida; Zingiberales; Musaceae. The record is from RNAcentral.
ACUUCGAAGAGGCAAAGAAUCGAUGGCUUAUUGGUGGCAGCAAGGACGGUGGUUGCUCGCUCGUCCGCUCGUCGCCACCACCAAAAUGGCCAUUUUUGCCCGUUUUAGCCGUUACUAAUUUUUGGGGCUUUCGUGAUGCCGCCAUGAACACGUGAGUGGAUCGAACGUCACCAUUCAAGACUGAACCCCGCCCGCAUAUAUCGGAUAGUAUCAUAUAGCAGGACGGUGGUUUCACUUUUCGUCAUCGCCCGUCAUUAUUCCGGCAACAAAAUGGUUAGUUUUACGCUUUGGAGUAGUUCUUGCAUGCUCGCUACGAACGACGUGAGCGGAGUAAAACGCCAACCAUCAUCAAUACCUCGAACCCCGGGUGACAUGUAUCGGAUGGGGCAUUCAGAUAGUAGGGCCGGUGCUAUCUCUCUUUAUUUCGGCGGUCCGCCGCCGCCUUCGCCGCUUCCGCCAAAAUAGCCGCUUUUUGGCGGUUCUUGUGUGUCGGUGAACGACGUGGAUGGACAAAACUUCAGCCAUCUCAAGACCGAACCCCCCGGGUGGCACUGUGGUCGAUGGGCAUUCGGGCGAAGUCGGCCGGAGCGAAACCCGGAAGGCACAAGGAAGUUAACGGCCGAACCCUCUCGAGGGUUACACCACCCGGGAUUCCCGAUCCGUGAAGGGUUUAGUUGGAGGAUACAUGCCGGGACCCGAAAAGAUGGUGAACUAUCGCUGAGAAAGCCCGAGGAAACUCGUGGUGAGGCCCGGCGAUCUUGGACGCGGCAAAUCGAUUCGGGUCGACUUGGGUAUAGGGCGAAGACUAAUGAACCAUCUAGUAGUCGGUUCCCUUUGAAGUUUUCCUCGGGAUAGUUGGAGCCCACGGCGAAUUCUAUCUGUAAAGCCAAUGAUUAGAGGCAUCGGGGGCUUAAUGCCCUGAAACCUAUUCUCAAACUUUAAAAGGUAGGAUGGCGACUACUCGCCGUUGAGCAGCGUCCGAAUCGAGAGCUCAAGUGGGCGGGCCAUUUUUGGUAAGCGAACUAGCGUCGCGGGAUGAACGGAAGCCAUGUUCGGUGCCCAAAGCUAAAUAACUUAAACACCACAAAGGGUGUUGGUCGAUUAAAAUUAGGAUGGUGGUCAUGGAAGUGAGGAAAUCCGCUAAGGGGUGUGUAACAACUCACCGCCGAAUCAACUAGCCCGAAAAUGGAUGGCGCUGCAAGCACCAAAUUCAUCUUAGCCAUCGGGGCAAAGCCCCGAUGAGUAGGAGGCUGACGAUCGUCAUAAAAACCAGUGAGCCCGGUGGGAGACGUCGGUCGCAGAUCUUGGUGGUAGUAGCGAAUAUUCAAAUGAGAACUUUGAAGGCGAAGAGGGGAAAGGUUCCAUGAACGACACUUGCCACAUAGGUUAGCCGAUCCGGGGAUGGGGAAACCCCGUCCGAGAGCGUGUCUCGAAUGUGAGCUCUGAAACGAAUCGGGUUAAAAUUCGGACGGCGACGGCGGACGACAAUGUUAGGAAGUCCGGAGGCGCGGCGAGGACCGGAAGAGUUAUCUUUUCUGCUUAACGGCACGCCCACCGGAAACGGCUCGGUGGGAGGUAGGGUCCAGCGGUCGGGAAGAGCGCCCGCCACCUUACGUCCAGCACCGGCCCCAGCGGCCCUUUGAAAAUCCGGAGGACGAGCCACCCGCGCGGUAAUAAUCAUAACAUCAGGUCUCCAAGGUGAAUAGCCUCGGCCCAUGGAGCAAUGUAGGCAAAGGAAGUCCGCAAAACGGAUCCGUAACUUUGGGAAAAGGAUUGGCUCGAGGGUGGUAACGGGGUCCAGCUCCCCCAACUUCGUUAAUUUGUCGGUAGGACUGAAAGUUGCUCGCGGGUGAGAUGGGUCACCUGCGUGCCGGGGGGACGGAUAGGGAACGGCCCCUCGGGGGCCUUCGGGCAUCGAACAACCGGGCUUCAACGGUACGAACAAGGGGAAUCCAUUGUUUAAUUAAAACAAAGCAUUGCGAUGGUCCCUUGAAUGCUGCCUGCGAAUGUGAUUUCUGCCCGAUUUCUAAAUGUCAAAGUGAAGAAAUUCAACCAAGGCUGGUAACGGCGGAGUAAUAUAUGACUCUCUUAAAAGGUUGCCAAAAUGUCUCGUCAUCUAAUUAGUGGACGCGCAUGAAUGGAUUAAUGAGAUUCCCAACGUGUCCGCUCUCACUAUCGUGAAACCCACAACCAAGGGAAUGGGCUUAGCGAGAAUGUGAGGGAAAGAAGACCCUGUUGAGCUUGACUCUAGUCCGACUUUGUGAAAUGACUUGAGAGGUGUAGGAUAAGUGGAGGCGAUUCGCCGAAGUGAAAUACCACUACUUUUAACGUUAUUUUACUUAUUCCGUGAGUUCGAAUGGGCCGGCCCUCCUUUUGGACCCAAGGCCCGAAGCGGGCCGAUCCGGCGGAAGACAUUGUCGGUGGGGAGUUUGGUCAGGCGGCACAUCAUAAAAGAUAGCGCAGGUGUCCUAAGAUGAGAUCAGCGAGGUAAAUCUGCAGGAACAAAAGGUAAAGCUCGUUUUGAUUCGAUUUCUAGAAAUGGAAUACGAACCAUGAAAGUGUGGCCUAUCAAUCCUUUAGACCUUCGGAAUUUGAAGCUAGAGGUGUCCCGGAAAAGUUACCACGAGGAUAAGCGGUUUUGUGGCGUAGCGUUCAUAGC